GAUGAACGCUGGCGGCGUGCCUAAUACAUGCAAGUCGAGCGAACGGACGAGAAGCUUGCUUCUCUGAUGUUAGCGGCGGACGGGUGAGUAACACGUGGAUAACCUACCUAUAAGACUGGGAUAACUUCGGGAAACCGGAGCUAAUACCGGAUAAUAUUUUGAACCGCAUGGUUCAAAAGUGAAAGACGGUCUUGCUGUCACUUAUAGAUGGAUCCGCGCUGCAUUAGCUAGUUGGUAAGGUAACGGCUUACCAAGGCAACGAUGCAUAGCCGACCUGAGAGGGUGAUCGGCCACACUGGAACUGAGACACGGUCCAGACUCCUACGGGCGGCAGCAGUAGGGAAUCUUCCGCAAUGGGCGAAAGCCUGACGGAGCAACGCCGCGUGAGUGCUGAAGGUCUUCGGAUCGUAAAACUCUGUUAUUAGGGAAGACCAUAUGUGUAAGUAACUGUGCACAUCUUGACGGUACCUAAUCAGAAAGCCACGGCUAACUACGUG
This 497-nucleotide ribosomal RNA is filed under the name uncultured bacterium. Its description in RNAcentral is "partial 16S ribosomal RNA". It matches the Rfam family "Bacterial small subunit ribosomal RNA", at positions 28 to 507 of the family's 1533-position model. The record is from RNAcentral.